UUUAACAGAUAUUACAAUUAAUCAGCAUAAGAACAUGUAAUAACAACAAACAACCUAUGCAUGUUAUUAAGCCAUGUGUUGUCAUCAUGAAAAACCAGAUUGAUUUAGAAAUUGUGUUGUCAACAAUCUCAACAAUUUCCCCUUUUUCGAUGAUGCACAACCAUGAUUAAUAACCAACCAUGUUUGCACAACCUAAUUCAAAACAACAAAAAUAUCAAGCAGAAUAUCAGAUAGAAUGAAAAUGCAGUCUCCCCCUUUCAUAAGGCUUUCAUACAAUCUCUCCCCCUUUGUGCAUUAGCAAAAAAGGUAUGCUCUAGAUAUUUAUGCUGAAAUAUCAAACAGAGAUGCAUCAAACAGUAAUAUGCAAUAAUCAAUAUGCAGUGAUGCUCUCAUUAGCACAUUUAAAUCACAUGAAAACGAUAACGCCCCCUGAAAUGCAGGCAUGUGAAAUACAAAUGUGUAUAAUGUG
Molecule: long non-coding RNA, 469 nt
Filed under: Vigna radiata
Lineage: Eukaryota; Viridiplantae; Streptophyta; Magnoliopsida; Fabales; Fabaceae
Description: long non-coding RNA (VRAD_LNC012801)
Source: RNAcentral